This 406-nucleotide ribosomal RNA is filed under the name uncultured bacterium. RNAcentral describes it as "partial 16S ribosomal RNA". It matches the Rfam family "Bacterial small subunit ribosomal RNA", at positions 30 to 526 of the family's 1533-position model. The record is from RNAcentral.
AUUGAACGCUGGCGGCAGGCCUAACACAUGCAAGUCGAACGAGUGGCGAACGGGUGAGUAAUGUCUGGGAAACUGCCUGGUGGAGGGGGAUAACAACUGGAAACGGUAGCUAAUACCGCAUACCAUCAGAUGUGCCCAGAUGGGAUUAGCUAGUUGGUGGGGUAACGGCUCACCAAGGCGACGAUCCCUAGCUGGUCUGAGAGGAUGACAAGCGACACGGGAACUGAGACACGGCCCAGACUCCUACGUGAGGCAACAGUGGGGAAUAUUGCACAGUGGGUGCAAGCCGGAUGCAGCCAUGCCGCGUGUAUGAAGAAGGCCUUCGGGUUGUAAAGUACUGUCAGCGGGGAGGCGUUACCCGCAGAAGAAGCACCGGCUAACUCCGUGCCAGCCGCCGCGGUAAUUC